AGAGUUUGAUCCUGGCUCAGAUUGAACGCUGGCGGCAUGCUUUACACAUGCAAGUCGAACGGCAGCACGGGGGCAACCCUGGUGGCGAGUGGCGAACGGGUGAGUAAUACAUCGGAACGUAUCCUUGAGUGGGGGAUAACGCAGCGAAAGUUGUGCUAAUACCGCAUGAGCUCUGAGGAGGAAAGUGGGGGACCGUAAGGCCUCACGCUGAAGGGGCGGCCGAUGUCCGAUUAGCUAGUUGGUGAGGUAAAGGCUCACCAAGGCUUCGAUCGGUAGCUGGUCUGAGAGGAUGAUCAGCCACACUGGGACUGAGACACGGCCCAGACUCCUACGGGAGGCAGCAGUGGGGAAUUUUGGACGAUGGGGGCAACCCUGAUCCAGCCAUGCCGCGUGAGUGAAGAAGGCCUUCGGGUUGUAAAGCUCUUUCGUGAGGGAAGAAACGGCCAUAGUGAAUAGCUGUGGUUACUGACGGUACCUCAAGAAGAAGCACCGGCUAACUACGUGCCAGCCGCCGCGGU
RNAcentral lists this ribosomal RNA (518 nucleotides) under uncultured bacterium. RNAcentral describes it as "bacterial SSU rRNA". It matches the Rfam family "Bacterial small subunit ribosomal RNA", at positions 8 to 521 of the family's 1533-position model. The record is from RNAcentral.